CCAAAUCGGGCCUGGCAUCUCCAUGUCUCUCUUUCCCUCACCCUCCUUCUCGACCUACGGCCGCCGCCGCAGCCAGGCCAGCGUGGCGGCGCGCCAACCAGUACCUCCACCACUCCACCACGCACCACCAGCACCACCAUCCAUCAUCCACACGCCUCCACCAGUGCCCACCUCGCGCGCCCCUCUUGCUGCUUCCUCUCUGAACCUGCUGCUGCUGCAUCUUCCUUCUUCUUGCGCCGAUCUGCUGCUGCUCUGCUUCCUCCACUCCUCCUGCUACUCCUUCUUUUCCCCGUGAUCUGCUGCUGCUCCUUCUUCUACUGCGCUCCCUUGCUGAUCUCUCACCGCUGCUAUUCCUCCCCUCAUCACGCUGCUGCUUCCUUCUUCUCCUGCCGCUGCUCUCUUCUUCCCUCGCCUCUAGUUGCUGCUCCUAGAAUUGUCUGAACCUCAAUUUGCUGCCGCUUAUACCACAAAACAGCUGCUGCUCUCUCUCAAUCUCUCUCUCUCUCUCUCUCUCUCUCUCACACUCUCUGAUCUCGAAUGUCUGUACUCUUGAGAAGUGUGAUGUUAAGUACUUUGUAAUGUUCAGAUAUGUUAGGUGUUAGUACUAUUGUUUAGUUUCAGACUUGUGCCUGUGUGAAAAUUAGUUGAAUCCAUUCCCUGUAUACUUGGUUGUUGUAGAAACUUGUUCAGUUUGUAGUAUCUGUGAUUUAUAUAUAAUGUUGUGGUGUUCAACAGUUUUGGCCAUGUCCCAUUAUCUUAGUUUUGUCCUUUUCUUAUAUGCUAUAUAGAUGUGAUCUUACCCUGCUAUUUCCCUUUCGCCGUUGUUGAUCUUCUGUGUUAGAAUCUUAUUUUCUCAAGAAUUGUGAAAAUAUCAAAAAGAUAGUGAACAAUAUCUUAACCUUUCCUAUACUUGUUUGUUUCUUCCUUUCUCUAUAAUCUUCGGUAACAACUUUGUUUAGUUUAGGUUUAUGUUUCCUUGCAAUCAUCGUCUAUAUUCUGUCACCUAGCUUUAGCCGAGCAUUGUUGCCGUCGCCUAGUCCCUGUGGAGAACAUGACAAUUGCAGAUUUGGGCGAAAUACCCCACUGUCUUUACAAAUGAUCAUUUUGGCACCAUUGCCGGGGACUAGCGUCGUGCGACCGUGUUAGGCUAUAGACUAGGUUUUGCUUUUGUUUCUAUCUAGUGCCAUAUAUUUGUGAUAUAUCUCUUACCCCUAACCACUGUUCUAGUUAUCUUCUCUUUAUUUUCUUGUUCAUUUUGCAGGUUGAAUUGUCUUCUUCGAAAUGGCAUUCUACUCAGAUCAUCAUGCUUAUGCGAGCAACACUACAAAUAGCACGGAAAGUAUUCAAUAACUGAUAAGUAAGAUUUCCCAUCAAUUAGAUGAUUUAGCUCGGCAGCGAGAAGUAGUUUUUGAGGAUAGGCCUAGCUCUUAUGAUCCUUAUUCUAGAGGUCAUCCUUAUGUUGCUCCUACAUGCCAUAUUUGUGGAUUUCAGGGCCAUUCACUCGCUGAAUGUCAGCGUGGUUACUCUCCCCCUCCUGAUUGUUAUGGCAUGAGCUUCGCCCCACAACCUAGCUCAUACCAAAAUAAUUACUCAUAUGGGUGGCCUGAAAACCAGAAUAUGUCAUAUAGGAGCAACAACCCUGAGAUCUCAUCGUUUGCCUCUAGUUAUCCAUUGCAGGGAUUUAGGUAUGAAGGGGAGAGCCACAACUAUGCACCACAACAGUUUUAUUCACCUCCUACUCAUAUACCACAGCACCAGCAGAUCUGUCCAAUGGAGUUAAAUGGUCCUCCAUUUGGUCAACCAACAACUCCAGCACCUGUUGUGCAAUCUCAUGUGCAAGUGCCCACACAAGAUGAGUUCGAUGACAUAGACAAGCUCACACUUUUGAGUCUCGAGUUCAGUUGGAGUGCCGAGGAUGAUCCUAUUAGGAAGGUUAUUCUAGAGGAAAUGAAGAAGAUCAAGAGUGGAAAAGAGCUAGUGGAAGAAGUAAGGAAGAUUGAGAAGAACAUCAACGCUGGCAGCACUAUUUCUUCACAGCUUGAGUUGAGUGUGGCUGAGAUAUCCAUGGAUACAUGUGAGGUUCCAACACCUUCAAAUUUAGUUGAGCAAGACACCGAGAGCCCAGAGGAAGAAAGACCUCAGAUUGAAGAAGAAAUUCUCGAAGCCAAGGAACAAGAUGAACCAGAGCUUGAAUGCCCAAGUGAUCAAGAUGAAGAUCCGCUACCAAUCACUCAUGAAGAAGUAAAAGAAGCUGAUGUAGUUGAAGAUGAAGAACCUGAGAUUCAUUUGCCUAUUAUCAUACAAGAGCAUGAUGUGCCAGGUUUACCUAAUCCUCUUGAUGUCAUGCGUCCGUAUAGUUUCUUUGCUUCUACCUUGCAUUACAUGAUGCCAUCACUUAAGGUAGAUUUGAAAAAGUAUUCGCUUGGACAUGAUCAUACACACCCUGUUAGUGGCAUUGCUCAUAUUACUGUUAAUUAUACUUAUGUUCCUGAUGCUAGUCCUUUGCUUAAUGAAACAUAUCAUUCCCAUGCUAGUCUUGAGCUUAAUGAUAAAUAUCAUCCUCAUGUUAGUGUUGACUUUGCUGAUUUCUACCAUCCUAAACAUGUGCUUUAUAGCUAUGCUUAUGUAAUUGGAUACUUGAUUGAUGACUUGGAGGGUAUUAUCCCUACCACUUGCAUUGUCUCUUUUGUGGAGUGUUCUUUUAGGUUUUUGCUACUGCACCGUUUACUACAUGCUGACCAGGUUCGAGGUGACAUCCCUUGGGAUCCCGGUGGAGUCAGAGCAUGACGAUGAGGAGAAGCAAUGGGGCACACAUUUGGAAGAGAGGAGCUGGUGCUUGCAUGUGGAAGCAAAAGGAGAAGAGCUACAGCUUAGAGAGUGAUCAAGCGAGUGCUACUUCAUAGUGCUCGGUGAGCUGUUUCAUGACCCAUUCUGAACAUCAUAUAUACAUGCUGAAUUCAAUUGCUAGUUGGGUUGCUUGAGCUAGUUAUUACUUGUUGUCAAGCUGAAAUUCACCUUUGGCAUUGUGCUUGAUGUGAAUUUGUGAACUUGAUUUCUGAAUGCCUUGUAAACUAGUGAUCUACACCAUGCGUGCUUGGCUGAAAUUAGUGAGAACUAUUAGUUUUGAGUUCUCAAAUCCCUAGUGCACUAGUAAACUUUGUCAUUUUUUGCAUUUACUAUGAUACACCUAGAUCACCAUGUUUAGAUGUUGAAUUUGUGCCAAGUGUGUUCCCAUUUAGAGCAACCACCUAACCACUAUGGAUUAGCAUGCUAUGUUCCCUGGAUCGGUAGCAUGUGAACCAGACAUGGAGAAGUGAGGAUUCCUGUUUUUUUGUGCUUAUGCGUUAUUCAUUGAAAAACAAGUAUAUCUUAUAAAACAAUAAGUCUAAUCUACCUACAGUAGCAUGUCAUGUUCCCUGGAUCGGUGGCAUGUGAAAUAUGGUUUGGUUGGACAAUAAUUAAUUAUUAAAAAAAUGUAAUUGUCGAACCAGGUGUAUACCAUGUUCUCGGGAUCGGUGGUAUGUUCUUUUGGGGAGACAAACUAAAAAAUACUAAUAAUUGGUCGAGCCAGGUGUAUACCAUGUUCUCGGGAUCGGUGGUAUGUUCCUAUGGUGAGACUAAUAAUAAUAAAAUCAUUGCUUUAUUUCAGUAAAUAAGUGAUUUGAUCACAAGCUUUGUUCUCGGGAUCAUGCUCUCUUUAGGAACCUUUUGGCACAAUCAUAAUUUGAACUUGUUGAUCCACUUUUAUCAUUGUAAAAGUUUAAAAUGGUCAAGUCUACUAGUAUACUACUGCUUUGAAGCACUCCUGAGCAUUAAUUUUCAUUAGCUAAGUCCAAAGCAUGCAUUGUUUGGAGAUCUAUUUUAACAGGACAUUCUUUACCCAGUUUACUGUUCACUAUCUUGCCUUUGUCAUAUUCCUUUGCUUGAGGACAAGCAAAGAUUUAAGUGUGGGGGAACUUGAUAGAGCAUUUCUUCAUAUAAUCCUUUUAGCCUUUUUGCAUCACAUUGUAAUCAUAUUUUCACAUUAUUUACUUAAGAAAUAUUCAAAUACCCCCAUUAUGCUACAUUUACAACACUCCUCCAUAUUUUGCAGAAAAGGGCGAAAAGGCCCAAAAUCCUUCUAUAAUGGAGAGUGUCAAGUAACUGUAGUUGUUGUAAUUUACGGAGGGACCCGACUGUGAAGAAAAGAAGUAACCAGAGGGGUCAAGCUAAAGUUGGAGGGAUCAUCUUGCGAAGAAAGAAGAGAAGUGGAAGGGCAAAAGGGAAAAAGUGGCAGCUCAGGGAGGGGAUCAAAAUCCCUAGCGCUCUCAAUCCCCAAAUCGGGCCUGGCAUCUCCAUCUCUCUCUUUCCCUCACCCUCCUUCUCCACCUACGGCCGCCGCCGCGGCCAGGCCAGCGUGGCGGCGCGCCAACUAGUACCUCCACCACUCCACCACGCACCACCAGCACCACUAUCCAUCAUCCACACGCCUCCACCAGCACCCACCUCGCGCGCCCCUCUUGCUGCUUCCUCUCUGAACCUGCUGCUGCUGCAUCUUCCUUCUUCUUGUGCCGAUCUGCUGCUGCUCUGCUUCCUCCACUCCUCCUGCUACUCCUUCUUUUCCCCGUGAUCUGCUGCUGCUCCUUCUGCUGCGCUCCCUUGCUGAUCUCUCACCGCUGCUGUUCCUCCCCUCAUCACGCUGCUGCUUCCUUUUUCUCCUUCCGCUGCUCUCUUCUUCCCUUGCCUCUAGUUGCUGCUCCUAGAAUUCUCUGAACCUCAAUCUGCUGCCGCUUAUACCACAAAACUGCUGCUGCUCUCUCUCAAUCUCUCUCUCUCUCACACACUCUCUGAUCUCGAAUGUCUGUACUCUUGAGAAGUGUGAUGUUAAGUACUUUGUAAUGUUCAGAUAUGUUAAGUGUUAGUACUGUUGUUUAGUUUAAGACUUGUGCCUGUGUGAAAAUUAGUUGAAUCCAUUCCCUGUAUACUUGGUUGCUGUAGAAACUUGUUCAGUUUGUAGUAUCUGUGAUUUAUAUAUAAUGCUGUGGUGUUAAACAGUUUUGUCCAUGUCCCAUUAUCUUAGUUUUGUCCUUUUCUUAUAUGCUAUAUAGAUGUGAUCUUACCCUGUUAUUUCCCUUUCGCCGUUGUUGAUCUUUUGUGUUAGAAUCUUAUUUUCUCAAGAAUUGUGAAAAUAUCAAAAAGACAGUGAACAAUAUCUUAACCUUUCCGAUACUUGUUUCUUUCUUUCUUUCUCUAUAAUCUUCGGUAACAACUUUGUUUAGUUUAGGUUUAUGUUUCCUUGCAAUCAUCAUCUAAAUUUUGUCACCUAGCUUUAGCCGAGCAUUGUUGCCG
RNAcentral lists this long non-coding RNA (5328 nucleotides) under Triticum aestivum (bread wheat). Its description in RNAcentral is "long non-coding RNA (TAES_LNC004516)". Lineage: Eukaryota; Viridiplantae; Streptophyta; Magnoliopsida; Poales; Poaceae. The record is from RNAcentral.